Molecule: transfer RNA, 75 nt
Filed under: Thermoplasmata archaeon
Lineage: Archaea; Methanobacteriati; Thermoplasmatota; Thermoplasmata
Also listed under: 3 other names
Description: tRNA-Asn
Rfam family: tRNA
About the family: Transfer RNA (tRNA) molecules are approximately 80 nucleotides in length.
Source: RNAcentral
GCCGCUGUAGCUUAGUGGUGGAGCGAUGGACUGUUAAUCCAUAGGCCGCCGGUUCAAAUCCGGUCAGCGGCGCCA